UUGGCGUAAGUGUUGCGUAGGAAACGAGGUGCAGAUCGGAACCAUGCAUGCGUUUCAUUCCAGAUCAAUACAGAGAAGCUUCAUACCAGUUGAUACUUUUGUAAUGUGUAUGCCUUGCCUUCCACUUGGAGCCUAAAGUGAUAUUUGAAUGAUUUAUUUAUUUAUUUAUUGUGUGACCUGGAAGUCAAAAUAUAUUUUUAAAAACCGAUUAAAUCUGAAGGAGUAUGCAGUUUUCAGUUGUUGAUUCUUGACAAACAAACAAGCAUGCAGCUUGAAACAUCAUAUGGCAUAUACCCUCCCCCGUCCUCUUUUUAGAAAAUUAAAUAUCAACUCAAAAUACCAAGGAUUUAUUAACAAUAACCCAGACCUUUUUUUCUCAUGAAUUUAGUGCUUUUCAUACCAUUGAAGUAAGCAAAUUAAUGUGGAGCAUGAAACGUGUGCUCCACUCAAAUCGGAAUCUAAUCCAGUUGCUACUAUUACUAAUUGCAAAAUUAAUGUACACAAUUCUGCACUUCUUUUAAAUUUUUUUUUUUAAAUAAUUGAAUUAAUAUCCAAUCGUGGGUGAUUACAAUUUCUUGGACUCCUGUGGUUCAAGAGAUCUAGACUGUUGCUAUAGAUACCACUUUUCUUUUCUUUUUCUUUUUUUCCUUUUCUUCUUUGUGUUUCCACUUUAAUUAACCACCACGUUUUUCUUAUUAAUCACCCUCCAUUUUGCUUAUAUAUAUGAGAAAUUGACUAUAAAGUUGUCCUCCAACUAUACCUCGACUUGCAUAUAACUCGUUCUUUCUAUCAACUCUAUUAACUUUUCCAUCAAAUUUAGGGCUAUACUUGUCUUUUCACAUUCUGGAUUCUUCAAGUCUAACAGAGUUGAUAGAAAGGACAAUUUCUGCAAAUUGAGGCAUAGUUAGAGAACAACCAUAGCUAUUUUGAAGUUCAUGGACGAAAAUAUAAGUCGGAGUAUAAUUCAGGGACAACUGUUACAUUUUAGCUUAUUUAAAUAAUAGCCAUAUCUAUAAUUGCCAUCAUUAGAAACCACAUAAAUAAUAAUUGGUCGCAUAUGACUUCAUUAAAUCAAAGGAGGUACACGUUAAUUAGCUCGAAAUUCCAUAACAAAAUUUUUCCAAGGGAUCGAACAAUCCUAGCAAUUAAUAGUACAUUCCUUAAUUUAUCAAAGCUAAAUAUUACCACUCUAUCAAGAAUGCAUGCAAUUACUAGUCAGUCAUGCAGCUGGAGCAUAAUCAUAACCACCAUCAUCAUCGUCAUCGUCAUCCCCUUCCAUGGCUGCUGCUGCUGCUGGAGCAUAGUCAUAGUCUGAAUCAUCGUCAUCGCCGUCGCCUUCUAUACAUGCUGCCAGGGCAAAUAUAUCAUCACCGUUGAAGUCGUCGACUCCAUCGCCAUGCACCUCGCACCAUGAGGCACUGAUGAUCAACUUGGAAAGGGGAAACAUUUCCAACAAUUUGGAAAGGGGAAAAAGAAAGAAGAAAAGAAAACAACUGGAGUUUGGGAAAAGGGGAAGGUUUUGAUUGGAUUUGAAUAAGAAUGUUUGAGGGUUUGCCAGAUUUAUAUAGAGUGGAGAAGUUUGCUGGGCUCGUUUUGCCACAAGUUAGUCGCGUGUUGAGAGUGUGGACUCGUGCUUCAAGG
RNAcentral lists this long non-coding RNA (1641 nucleotides) under Prunus persica (peach). Its description in RNAcentral is "long non-coding RNA (PPER_LNC007515)". The record is from RNAcentral. Lineage: Eukaryota; Viridiplantae; Streptophyta; Magnoliopsida; Rosales; Rosaceae.